This is a long non-coding RNA of Salvia hispanica, 1046 nucleotides long. RefSeq lists it as uncharacterized. Lineage: Eukaryota; Viridiplantae; Streptophyta; Magnoliopsida; Lamiales; Lamiaceae. The record is from RefSeq and is a predicted model, not a curated record.
UGGUGCUCAGAAAAUUGCGAGCAUUCUUACAGGUGCUUGCUCUUCUUCAGAUCUUUUAUACCACAGGCUUUCCUUUCUUCUUCACAUUUUUACCGCUUCUCCUCCAAAUUUCGUGUGAUUAAGUAGGAUUUCUGAAAUUACUUCUCAAAAGAAAACCGCGAGUUCUCAAAACCUCACCGCCCUCUUUUUCGAAACAUAAUCACUUCUCAAAAUUCUCACUCUGGUAAACAGUUCUCGGCGGCGAGAUUCGACCGGUCGGGUGGCGUUUAAGCAUUUCAUUUGUUGGAGAAGAUCCUCGAGCCGAGAUCGGUGAGGGGCCAGAGUAAGGGUUUUUAUGUCUCUUUAGCAACAUUUGAAGUGAGCAUCACCCAAAAUUUUCACUGCAUAUAAGAUUGUAUACCACUGAGUAAAGGCAUAACCCCAUUCUGAAACCCUCUCCAUCUAAUCUUCAGCUCACAAUUUCAGUUCAAAGGACUUGUCCCAAUUGUGGCUGGUUCAGGUACAAGGAGAUGAUUUAAUUAAGCAAAGAGAGCUAUAGUACAUGAAACUACUUGAGCAAUGAUGCAUUGGUGGUGUGUGAGGGAGUUACUUGAUCAUAUGGAGCAAAUCAAGGAUAUGAUAGCUAAGCUAGAAGAUAAUAGAGCUGGAGAACGGGUUGCUGUAGAUACGAGGAAGAAAAAUCCUGCUGACUUUGCUAUGUGGAAGGCUGCAAAGCCUGGGGAGCCACAAUGGGACAGCCCCUGGGGUCCUGGAAGACCAGGAUGGCACAUUGAAUGCAGUGCCAUGAGUGCAAGAUUAGAAUACAAAUUCUGUUUGGAACUGUAAAUUUUGAAUGCAAGAUUGGAACUGCAGUGAAGCGGGAGGAAAGUUGCAAUGGUGCGGAAGGAAGCGGCUAAGAGGGAGCAACAAAUGGAAGAGCGAAUGAUGCGGCUUUUUGAUGAAAAACUCGGACAAAUGAAAAAUGUGUAGUUUAGUUUGAUUUUGUUAGAUAAUUUUAUAUUUUGUAAAACAAUCUUACUUAUUUAAUGUUAUUUGAAUUUUGCUUA